This 497-nucleotide ribosomal RNA is filed under the name uncultured bacterium. RNAcentral describes it as "partial 16S ribosomal RNA". It matches the Rfam family "Bacterial small subunit ribosomal RNA", at positions 28 to 507 of the family's 1533-position model. The record is from RNAcentral.
GAUGAACGCUGGCGGCGUGCCUAAUACAUGCAAGUCGGGCGAACAGAUGAGGAGCUUGCUCCUCUGACGUUAGCGGCGGACGGGUGAGUAACACGUGGAUAACCUACCUAUAAGACUGGGAUAACUUCGGGAAACCGGAGCUAAUACCGGAUAAUAUAUUGAACCGCAUGGUUCAAUAGUGAAAGACGGUUUUGCUGUCACUUAUAGAUGGAUCCGCGCCGCAUUAGCUAGUUGGUAAGGUAACGGCUUACCAAGGCAACGAUGCGUAGCCGACCUGAGAGGGUGAUCGGCCACACUGGAACUGAGACACGGUCCAGACUCCUACGGGAGGCAGCAGUAGGGAAUCUUCCGCAAUGGGCGAAAGCCUGACGGAGCAACGCCGCGUGAGUGAUGAAGGUCUUCGGAUCGUAAAACUCUGUUAUUAGGGAAGAACAAAUGUGUAAGUAACUAUGCACGUCUCGACGGUACCUAAUCAGAAAGCCACGGCUAACUACGUG